This 668-nucleotide ribosomal RNA is filed under the name uncultured Caulobacteraceae bacterium. RNAcentral describes it as "bacterial SSU rRNA". It matches the Rfam family "Bacterial small subunit ribosomal RNA", at positions 95 to 798 of the family's 1533-position model. Lineage: Bacteria; Pseudomonadati; Pseudomonadota; Alphaproteobacteria; Caulobacterales; Caulobacteraceae. The record is from RNAcentral.
GUGGCGGACGGGUGAGUAACACGUGGGAACGUGCCCUUUGGUACGGAAUAACUCAGGGAAACUUGAGCUAAUACCGUAUGUGCCCUUCGGGGGAAAGAUUUAUCGCCAUUGGAGCGGCCCGCGUCUGAUUAGCUAGUUGGUGAGGUAACGGCUCACCGAGGCGACGAUCAGUAGCUGGUCUGAGAGGAUGACCAGCCACAUUGGGACUGAGACACGGCCCAAACUCCUACGGGAGGCAGCAGUGGGGAAUCUUGCGCAAUGGGCGAAAGCCUGACGCAGCCAUGCCGCGUGGAUGAUGAAGGUCUUAGGAUUGUAAAAUCCUUUCACCGGUGAAGAUAAUGACUGUAGCCGGAGAAGAAGCCCCGGCUAACUUCGUGCCAGCAGCCGCGGUAAUACGAAGGGGGCUAGCGUUGCUCGGAAUUACUGGGCGUAAAGGGCGCGUAGGCGGACAUUUAAGUCAGGGGUGAAAUCCCGGGGCUCAACCUCGGAACUGCCUUUGAUACUGGGUGUCUUGAGUGUGAUAGAGGUAUGUGGAACUCCGAGUGUAGAGGUGAAAUUCGUAGAUAUUCGGAAGAACACCAGUGGCGAAGGCGACAUACUGGAUCAUUACUGACGCUGAGGCUCGAAAGCGUGGGGAGCAAACAGGAUUAGAUACCCUGGUAGUCCAC